ACGCUGGCGGCGUGCUUAACACAUGCAAGUCGAACGAGAGCGUAGAGAAAGCUUGCUUUUUCUACAAUCUAGUGGCAAACGGGUGAGUAACGCGUAAACAACCUGCCCUACGGAUGGGGACAACAGCUGGAAACGGCUGCUAAUACCGAAUACGUUCCGAAAGUCGCAUGACUGUCGGAAGAAAGGAUGGCCUCUAUUUAUAAGCUAUCGCCGGAGGAGGGGUUUGCGUCUGAUUAGCUAGUUGGAGGGGUAACGGCCCACCAAGGCGACGAUCAGUAGCCGGUCUGAGAGGAUGAACGGCCACAUUGGAACUGAGACACGGUCCAGACUCCUACGGGAGGCAGCAGUGGGGAAUCUUCCGCAAUGGGCGAAAGCCUGACGGAGCAACGCCGCGUGAGUGAAGACGGCCUUCGGGUUGUAAAGCUCUGUUAUACGGGACGAAUAGUCUUGUGGUUAAUACCCAUGAGAAGUGACGGUACCGUAAGAGAAGGCCACGGCUAACUACGUGCCAGCAGCCGCGGUAAUACGUAGGUGGCAAGCGUUGUCCGGAAUUAUUGGGCGUAAAGGGCGCGCAGGCGGCUUCUUAAGUCUGUCUUAAAAGUGCGGGGCUUAACCCCGUGAUGGGAUGGAAACUGGGAAGCUCAGAGUAUCGGAGAGGAAAGCGGAAUUCCUAGUGUAGCGGUGAAAUGCGUAGAUAUUAGGAGGAACACCAGUGGCGAAAGCGGCUUUCUGGACGAAAACUGACGCUGAGGCGCGAAAGCCAGGGGAGCGAACGGGAUUAGAUACCCCGGUAGUCCUGGCCGUAAACGAUGGGUACUAGGUGUAGGAGGUAUCGACCCCUUCUGUGCCGGAGUUAACGCAAUAAGUACCCCGCCUGGGGAGUACGGCCGCAAGGUUGAAACUCAAAGGGAAUUGACGGGGGCCCGCACAAGCGG
This 935-nucleotide ribosomal RNA is filed under the name uncultured bacterium. RNAcentral's name for it is "bacterial SSU rRNA". It matches the Rfam family "Bacterial small subunit ribosomal RNA", at positions 33 to 932 of the family's 1533-position model. The record is from RNAcentral.